CUGGGAGACUUUGUGUAUUCUUAACUCCGCGACCCCCCUUGGGCCCCCUCCCUCGCUGCGCUUUGCAGUUUGGUGCUGGCAGUUUCUACCAAAGCGCUUUUUUAUCUUUUCUUCUUUUAAAAAAUGUUACAUCGCCCUGCUCCUUCAGCCAUAGCCGCAUGUGUGCGUGUGCGUGCGUGUUGACUGUGACACGGGUGUUACAUUUUUUCCUGUGCCCCUUCUCCCUGUAGGGUGAAGCUCUGGGCCUCGGCUUUUGGUGGGGAGAUAAAAUCCAUUGCUGCUAAGUACUCCGGUUCCCAGCUUCUGCAAAAGGCAAAUACAUGAAUACCAAACCACCCGAUAAUUGUGAAAUCCAUUGGGCCUGAGCCGACACAGUUAUUGUUUCCAGUUUUUGAUGAAGACAUAGCCAUGUGUCAGCAUGAGCAAAAGUAAAAGAAAUGCGAAACCAUCACCCCCAGCACCUGUGGCCCUUCCAGGUAGCUUGUCCCAAGGACAGGCAUCAGUGUCUGAGCACCUCUGCUUUGAUCCAUCCUCUGGGCAGAUUUACCCAGUCUGCCCUUGUAGAGUCUGGCCAAGUGAGGUUUUGUCCAACCAGAUUGUGAGAUAACAUGGUGUGAUGUUGUACAGCCACCUUUAAAAAAUCCGUGAUCUUGUUGCAGAUGUACAAUUCUGUUCCGUCAAACAAACAAACAAAAAAC
Molecule: long non-coding RNA, 698 nt
Filed under: Rhinopithecus bieti (black snub-nosed monkey)
Lineage: Eukaryota; Metazoa; Chordata; Mammalia; Primates; Cercopithecidae
Description: lncRNA (ENSRBIG00000045175.1)
Source: RNAcentral